Molecule: ribosomal RNA, 402 nt
Filed under: uncultured bacterium
Lineage: Bacteria
Description: bacterial SSU rRNA
Rfam family: Bacterial small subunit ribosomal RNA
Source: RNAcentral
UGGGGAAUAUUGGACAAUGGGGGAAACCCUGAUCCAGCAAUGCCGCGUGAGUGAUGAAGGCUUUCGGGUGGUAAACCUCUUUGGACGGGGACGAUAAUGACGGUACCCGUGGAAGAAGCUCCGGCUAACUUCGUGCCGGCAGCCGCGGUAAUACGAAGGGGGUUAGCGUUGUUCGGAUUUACGGGGCGUAAAGCGCGCGCAGGCGGCUAUCCAAGUCAGUGGUGAAAGCCCGGAGCUCAACUCCGGAACUGCCAUUGAAACUGUUUAGCUUGAGGACGAGAGAGGUGAGUGGAAUUCCCAGUGUAGAGGUGAAAUUCGUAGAUAUUGGGAAGAACACCAGUGGCGAAGGCGGCUCACUGGCUCGUAUCUGACGCUCAGGCGCGAUAGCGUGGGGAUCAAACA